RNAcentral lists this ribosomal RNA (641 nucleotides) under uncultured bacterium. Its description in RNAcentral is "bacterial SSU rRNA". The stretch from base 1 to 547 matches the Rfam family "Bacterial small subunit ribosomal RNA", at positions 338 to 873 of the family's 1533-position model. The record is from RNAcentral.
CCUACGGGAGGCAGCAGUGGGGAAUAUUGGACAAUGGGCGGAAGCCUGAUCCAGCAACGCCGCGUGAGGGAUGACGGCCUUCGGGUUGUAAACCUCUUUCGCCUGUGACGAAGCUCCUGGUUUUUGUUGGGGGUGACGGUAGUGGGUAAAGAAGCACCGGCCAACUACGUGCCAGCAGCCGCGGUAAUACGUAGGGUGCGAGCGUUGUCCGGAAUUAUUGGGCGUAAAAGGGCUCGUAGGCGGUUUGUCGCGUCGGGAGUGAAAGCCCAGGGCUUAACCCUGGGUCUGCUUCUGAUACGGGCAGACUAGAGGUAUGUAGGGGAGAACGGAAUUCCUGGUGUAGCGGUGAAAAUGCGCAGAUAUCAGGAGGAACACCGGUGGCGAAAGGCGGUUCUCUGGGCAUUACCUGACGCUGAGGAGCGAAAGUGUGGGGAGCGAACAGGAUUAGAUACCCUGGUAGUCCACACCGUAAACGUUGGGCGCUAGGUGUGGGGAGUCACUCCUACGGUUCCGGUCGCCGCACGCUAACGACAUAAGUACGCCCGCCCGUCGGGAGGUACGGCCGCGACGGACGUAAAACGUUAAAAGUAGAAGUUAGACGGUCGUGAGAGUUAGUCGAAGGACGACGACGAGGGAGGAGG